Molecule: non-coding RNA, 1099 nt
Organism: Macaca mulatta (Rhesus monkey)
Lineage: Eukaryota; Metazoa; Chordata; Mammalia; Primates; Cercopithecidae
Source: RefSeq, a predicted model, not a curated record
UGCCACAAUUGGCAGCAUCACUGGCUCUUAGCUACUGAAAACAUAACAGAGACGAGUCUCGCAACAAGAAAUCAAUGUGAUGGAUAAUAGGCAGGAAAAGCAGCCCCCAGAGAAUAAGGGAAGGCCCCAGUGAGUCUAAUUUUCAUUGACCCAGUUUCACUGUCAAAGCACAGAACAUAGCAAGACAGAGUGACCUCCAGAGUCAAAAAGCUUCAGACUACACUGCAAAUGAAGCCACCACGGACUGUCUCUCUCUUUCUCCACGAGCCCAUGGAUGUUAACCACCAGUGAGUGAGUGACAAAGAGAAUUCCCACCUUAGAAAGGAGCAGUUGAGUCCACAGUCAUUUAAGACAGGCAGUGAGUGACGGCUGCACUAGCAUCCUGAGGAGGAAAUUAAAGCAUUCGUCGAGGGCCUGACUCAGGAACGGGUGGAGGAAUGGAUUAUGGCAGCCACAGGAGACCAAGAGCAAGGGGAGUUGUGAAAAUGAAUAAAAUGGCUGAACUCCCCAUCUGGGUCAAGGCAAUGGGGAGCAUGGCAUGGUGUGAUGUAGAAGAAAGAUCCCCUGUGAGCCGGAGAAGACAUGGGCAGGAAAACCCAUACCAAAGCCUUCCAUAAAUCUCGAGGAAGAGUCGGAUCUUGCGUGCUGAUCGACACUGAUCUGCACAGCAGCAUGAAUAACACUGGCCUAGGGCAUACAAAUAAGUACAAAAUCGUUGCUCUCAGGGAGCUUACAAACUUUCUAUUAUACUAAUACACAUUGAAAUAUGUUCACGCCAUGACAAGGCAAACAUAAAAUCUACUUACAAGACAGAAAUGAUGAAUUGCAAAGUGAAUUCACAAAUAACACAAAUUAGGAGUUUAAGAAAGGAAGCCAUUUGGAGAAACCAGAAGAUUAGAAAUGAAAGAAAGAAAACUAGGUUUCAGGUCUGUGGAGGUGAGAGACCUUGAACUGAGUCUUGAAGGUUAAGAUCAAGUUACAUCUCACCACAAAAAGCAUAAGUAGGUGAGGUAAUGCAUACAUUAGUUAGCUCCAUUUAGCCAUGUCACAAUAUACACAUAUUUCAAAACAACAUGUUGCACACAAUAAAUAUGUACAA